GAUGAACGCUGGCGGCGUGCCUAAUACAUGCAAGUCGAGCGAACAGACGAGGAGCUUGCUCCUCUGACGUUAGCGGCGGACGGGUGAGUAACACGUGGAUAACCUACCUAUAAGACUGGGAUAACUUCGGGAAACCGGAGCUAAUACCGGAUAAUAUAUUGAACCGCAUGGUUCAAUAGUGAAAGACGGUUUUGCUGUCACUUAUAGAUGGAUCCGCGCCGCAUUAGCUAGUUGGUAAGGUAACGGCUUACCAAGGCAACGAUGCGUAGCCGACCUGAGAGGGGACUCGGCCCCACUGGAACUGAGACGCGGUCCAAACUCCUACGGGGGGCAGCAGUAGGGAAUCUUCCGCAAUGGGCGAAAGCCGGACGGAGCAACGCCGCGGGAGGGAUGAAGGUCUUCGGAUCGUAAAACUCUUUUAUUAGGGAAAAAAAAAUGUGUAAGUAACUAUGCACGUCUUGACGGUACCUAAUCAGAAAGCCCCGGCUAACUACGU
Molecule: ribosomal RNA, 496 nt
Filed under: uncultured bacterium
Lineage: Bacteria
Description: partial 16S ribosomal RNA
Rfam family: Bacterial small subunit ribosomal RNA
Source: RNAcentral